UCACUUUCUCAUGAUCAUGAGAUUGCUUUGAUCAUGAAGGUGGUUCACCCAGGACGAGGCUCAGCCAUUGUACUCCGGCUGUGCUGACCCCUGCGAAUUCCCCAAAUGUGGGAAUCUUAACUGCAUAAUUUGUGGUAGUGUGGAACUUUGUGGUAGAUUCCACU
Non-coding RNA from Misgurnus anguillicaudatus (oriental weatherfish), 164 nucleotides. The record is from RefSeq and is a predicted model, not a curated record. Lineage: Eukaryota; Metazoa; Chordata; Actinopteri; Cypriniformes; Cobitidae.